GAACCGCUGGUUCAAACCUGAGAUCAGCACACCCUCAUCGAUUCGUUCAAUUCAGAUUGAGGAGAAGGCUAUGAAGGACUUGAAGAGGUUCUACAGUAGUGUCAAGGUUGUGAAGAACCCAACUUAACAAAGAGCUACCGCUUGAUACUCAGAAAGAGGCUCCUCAUUGUUAAUGCUCCUUUUUCCAGUUCAUAACAGUGAAUUUCAAUGUACAGAUGAUCUUGUAAAUUUGGUUCUUUUAAUGUUAGUAGUUGUAAUUUCUCAUCGGCCAUUAAUUUGUUUUAGAUAUAAAGAUGUCCAUUCAGUUAGUAUAACUUAAAGAUAAUAAAGUUUAAAAUUCCUGAUCGAAGUGCAUACAAAUGCAACGG
Molecule: unclassified non-coding RNA, 368 nt
Filed under: Hevea brasiliensis (rubber tree)
Lineage: Eukaryota; Viridiplantae; Streptophyta; Magnoliopsida; Malpighiales; Euphorbiaceae
Source: RNAcentral